AACGAACGCUGGCGGCAUGCCUAACACAUGCAAGUCGAACGAGACCUUCGGGUCUAGUGGCGCACGGGUGCGUAACGCGUGGGAAUCUGCCCAAAGGUUCGGAAUAACUCGGGGAAACCCGUGCUAAUACCGGAUGAUGUCUUCGGACCAAAGAUUUAUCGCCUUUGGAUGAGCCCGCGUCGGGUUAGCUAGUUGGUGAGGUAAAGGCUCACCAAGGCGACGAUCCGUAGCUGGUCUGAGAGGAUGAUCAGCCACACUGGGACUGAGACACGGCCCAGACUCCUACGGGAGGCAGCAGUGGGGAAUAUUGGACAAUGGGCGAAAGCCUGAUCCAGCAAUGCCGCGUGAGUGAUGAAGGCCUUAGGGUUGUAAAGCUCUUUUACCCGGGAUGAUAAUGACAGUACCGGGAGAAUAAGCCCCGGCUAACUCCGUGCCAGCAGCCGCGGUAAUACGGAGGGGGCUAGCGUUGUUCGGAAUUACUGGGCGUAAAGCGCACGUAGGCGGCUUUG
Molecule: ribosomal RNA, 509 nt
Filed under: uncultured bacterium
Lineage: Bacteria
Description: bacterial SSU rRNA
Rfam family: Bacterial small subunit ribosomal RNA
Source: RNAcentral